RNAcentral lists this ribosomal RNA (820 nucleotides) under uncultured bacterium. RNAcentral describes it as "bacterial SSU rRNA". It matches the Rfam family "Bacterial small subunit ribosomal RNA", at positions 671 to 1482 of the family's 1533-position model. The record is from RNAcentral.
UAGUGUAGCGGUGAAAUGCGUAGAUAUUAGGAGGAACGCCGGUGGCGAAAGCGACUCUCUGGACUGUUUCUGACACUGAGGUGCGAAAGCUAGGGGAGCAAACAGGAUUAGAUACCCUGGUAGUCCUAGCUGUAAACGAUGGGCACUAGGCAAGGGAGGUUCCGAUGCCCUCCUUGCCGUAGCUAAUGCGUUAAGUGCCCCGCCUGGGGAGUAUGGUCGCAAGGCUAAAACUCAAAGGAAUUGACGGGGGCUCACACAAGCGGUGGAGCAUGUGGUUUAAUUCGAAGCAACGCGCAGAACCUUACCCGGGUUUGAAAUGCAGGGAUUAACCUCCUGAAAGGGAGGGGAUUGCCUUUGGUGUAACCUGUAUAGGUGUUGCAUGGCUGUCGUCAGCUCGUGUCGUGAGAUGUUGGGUUAAGUCCCUUAACGAGCGAAACCCUUGUCUUUAGUUGCCAGCGGGUUAUGCCGGGGACUCUAGAGAGACUGCCGUUGUAAAAACGGAGGAAGGUGGGGACGACGUCAAGUCAUCAUGGCCUUUAUGUCCGGGGCUACACACGUGCCACAAUGGCCGGUAUAAUGUGAAGCGAAACCGCAAGGUGAAGCAAAUCAAUAAAAGCCGGUCUCAGUUCGGAUUGGGGGCUGAAAUUCGCCCCCAUGAAGUCGGAAUCGCUAGUAAUCGCGGAUCAGCUACGCCGCGGUGAAUAUGUUCCUGAGCCUUGUACACACCGCCCGUCAAGCCACGAAAGCUGGUAGUGCCUUAAGUCGUGAUCCUAACCCUUCGGGGAAGGUAGCGCCCACGGUAAAACCAGUGAUUGGGACU